AGGAACAGAAAACUAAAGGACUAGGGUAGUGAUGGGAUGGGUGGUCGCGUUCACUUUGGAUGGCUGUGGAAAGUGGGAAAGUAGCACUCUUCGGGCCCUAAAAGUAGAGAAAAGCUUAUAAUGAAUCUUGCUUUGGUAUGUGCCAAAACAACUGCCUCUGCCAGCUCUUCUUGGCUGGGUAAGAGCAUCUGCCCUAUACCGUGGCUGCAAGCCUACAUGGCUCCGUGCCAUGUUGUCAGUCCCUGUCAGAUGGCUCAGAGAGAGACAAAGUGCUCUUCUUCCAGAAAGAUGAGAAGAGCACGCUUCAGUUUUGUGGGAAAAUAGACAAAAAUUAAUAUCCUUCACGUGCGGCUGGGUCAGAAGUCCAUGUGCUGUCACCCAGGGAAAGCACCCUACCGCUGCCAGGAAAUGUUCCGCAGUCUGUAGACGGACUGAGAGAAUACUUUGCAGCGCUUGCAAGUGACCGAUGCUCUAUACUCCGUUGCUCCUUGUUACUGCCUAUUCCUCUAUGUCCUUAUUCUCCAUCACAGGGAUCAUUGUUUGCCUGCUUACUCCUUCCAUCUGCCUGACAUCAUAUGCACGUUUGAGAUGCUUUCAUUUUGAACCCAUUUUACUACUUAUUGCUUGGAUUCCUUUCGGCCUUUACUUUCAGUUAAGUGGGGCUGCAGAUCUACUGCAAUUUCUUCCCAGUAGCAGAUGACCUGCCAGGACAUGACUUACAGCUGUGAACCCUCUAGGAGUACUGGCCUUCAGCUAUGCCCUCAUUUCCUACAUCAAAAAAAAGGAAUUUAACUGGCACAUUUUGCCAACUCUGGUAUGUUGAAGCGGUAUUGCCACCUCUUUGUGAUGGCAAAGCUAUUGCAGUAUGAGUAGGUUCUGCUGAACUGAGCCAUUUAUACCUAUAAACGUGCACACACACAUGCUUCUUUCUUCAUCCUGCAUGGCAUGGUACGGAAGGAAUUAGUGACUUAUUCUGCUGUUCUCUUCAAAUAACUUUCUGCCAGACAUUUGGUUUGCUAAUGGAAUAAAACCUUAAGAGUUAAAACUUCCCUUCAUUUUCUGACUUCUUAAUCCUUGUGUGCAUUUUGUCAGCCCCCCUAUUUUUGUCUGGGCUCCUACAUGCUGACACAGCACCAGUUUUCUUGUCUAAUUUUAUAAACUGUUCAGCCGUGCCGUUAUUCACUGUUUUCUUUUAAUUAUGUAUUCUUGUUAACCUCUUUAUCCUUUCAAAGUUGCAGAUUGUGAUUGACAUGUGGUAUUAAUUAAGGCGUAUAAUUUAUGACAUUGGAGCUUGAAAUUAAUAAGUGACAAUACAAUUACAUGGUUUGCCUAAUUGUCCUUCAGUAAUAUAAAGAUUGACACUUACUGCAGUAUUCAAAGUUAAAAGCUCUCAAACAGAUAGUACAGCUGAAUGUAAUCACCAGUGAAUCUAAAGUAAACAGAUCCAUUGUAAGGGACAGGCUGUUGGGAAAAUACUUCUGCUGUGGUCUUGUUUUAUUAAAUAAAUGAAUCUGCUUGUACAGGUCAA
Harpia harpyja (harpy eagle) is the source of this 1528-nucleotide long non-coding RNA. RefSeq lists it as uncharacterized. NCBI's taxonomy places the organism in Eukaryota, Metazoa, Chordata, Aves, Accipitriformes, Accipitridae. The record is from RefSeq and is a predicted model, not a curated record. The transcript is spliced from 2 exons.